RNAcentral lists this ribosomal RNA (468 nucleotides) under uncultured bacterium. RNAcentral's name for it is "partial 16S ribosomal RNA". It matches the Rfam family "Bacterial small subunit ribosomal RNA", at positions 28 to 507 of the family's 1533-position model. The record is from RNAcentral.
GACGAACGCUGGCGGCGUGCUUAACACAUGCAAGUCGAACGGAAAGGCCCUGCUUUUGUGGGGUGCUCGAGUGGCGAACGGGUGAGUAACACGUGAGUAACCUGCCCUUGACUUUGGGAUAACUUCAGGAAACUGGGGCUAAUACCGGAUAGGAGCUCCUGCUGCAUGGUGGGGGUUGGAAAGUUUCGGCGGUUGGGGAUGGACUCGCGGCUUAUCAGCUUGUUGGUGGGGUAGUGGCUUACCAAGGCUUUGACGGGUAGCCGGCCUGAGAGGGUGACCGGCCACAUUGGGACUGAGGUACGGACCAGACUCCUACGGGAGGCAGCAGUGGGGAAUAUUGCGCAAUGGGCGGAAGCCUGAUGCAGCAACGCCGCGUGCGGGAUGACGGCCUUCGGGUUGUAAACCGCUUUCGCCUGUGACGAAGCGUGAGUGACGGUAAUGGGUAAAGAAGCACCGGCUAACUACGUG